This 20202-nucleotide long non-coding RNA is filed under the name Nicotiana benthamiana. RNAcentral's name for it is "long non-coding RNA (NBEN_LNC033726)". Lineage: Eukaryota; Viridiplantae; Streptophyta; Magnoliopsida; Solanales; Solanaceae. The record is from RNAcentral.
AUCCCUUCAAACCCGGUCCAGCCCCACCCUCCUAAGAACGACCCCGUUUUGCCCCAAGUGAUUCCAGUCGUUGAUCCACACGAAUCCAAUGGUUGGGAACUAAUCUUCAUUUAGCUUAUAACUGUCCGAACCAAGCAGCCCCCCCACACCCAAUAGACCCAUCUCAUUCUGUGCUUCUCACUCUCAAAGAACAAAACCUUGGCCGCCCUAAAUCCCCUCGCUGCCUCCGCGACAACCCGCCGAAAAUUGCCUCACGACGAUCUAGUGCUCCAAACUCUAUCAAAUUAAUACCAUACAAUCACCUUCCCAUUCCCAUUCCAAAUCUUCAAACUGUUUCCCUCAAAUCUUUUUCAAUCUCCUCGAGUCUUAGAUCUAAGUUUCACAAAAAACCUCUUCCUUUUCUUUUUGAUUUUCUCGGAUAGUUUCUGGGAUUUGUGAAUCCAAGACUUCCAUUAGUCAACUAUUUUUGUUAAGAACAGUUGAUUAAUGACCGUCCAAGUCCACUUUUUCCGGUUAGAUUUGGUCAAAUUCGUAAAUAGUCCCUUCCUGUAAUGAGCAUAUAUAAUUCCUCUUACUUUUCUGUUAUUUUUCUUUGGUUUGGUUUUCUUUUCCCUCUUCAUAUUCAUGUUUCUUGUUUAGCUGCAUGAUUUAUUUUGUUCAUUAGAUUGAUCAAAACAUGCUAAUACUUCAUCAUCUAAAGGUUAAUUUCAGUUUGCAAAGGUUUAUUUUAAUUAGGUCCAAUCUUUGUUGGGUUUUCGAUAAAUUGGCUAUUCUAUUUUUCUCUUAUUAUUUGUUCUAGUUCAAAGUUAAUUAGAAUAUUUUUGAAAUCGACAGUCUAUUUGGUUGAUUUUUUAUAUGCUAUUUAAAAAUAUAUAUUUUAGUUAUUUAAUUUGUUUUGAUUCAUAAACUGAUUAGUUUAGGAUUUGUUUAGUAGUUUCAUGUUAAUUUUUUGUAGAUACAUUAGUCGUUUUAAAUCUAGCUAUGUUUAGGUUUAAUUAGAUAAAUACUUUUAUUUACUAUUUAGGUUAGUCUUAGUUUAAAUUGCAUCAUUUUUCGAUUCUGUUAUUAUUUUAAUUUGCAUUCUAAUCCUUUAAUUGAUUGUUGUCUUUGUUUUCCUUAGUUUGUAAAGCGGCAGAAACUUGUAGGGGCCUAAUUGAAUUAAAAGAAGCUUAGGAUAGUUUAAAGAAAUUAUCUAAGAAAAAAAGGUUCUUGAAGUAUACAAUUGUCCAGAAUUGUUUUAAAAGAUGUUGAAAAUGGACAGUUGUCCAUUAUUCUCUGUCAAAUAGGAUAUACUAUCUAAGAAAUUUAGGGUAAAAUAUUCCUAGACACUCAUUCUCACACACAUUCAGAUUUUCAGAACCCUAAAAUACACUCUAAAAAGAUCAGCUGUUGUGUUCUUAGAAGCUGAUUCCUUUCCUCUGAUUUUAACAAAAUAAUCAAAGACCUCCUUGAUAUUUAUGGUCUUCAUAAGUUGAAAAAUAUGCUUUGAAAGUGAAGAUUUUUGGUUUUUGUGGGGUUUACUGAUGUUAGCUGCUGUAGAUGUUGGGUUUUGGUUUGAUUUGGUUGUUGUUGUUUGAGUUCUGUUGCUGCUUCACUUCUUUCAAAGCUUCAGCCAGUUCUUGUUUUUCAUAUGUUAUUUGCUGGUUUAUUUGUUGUUUGUUCAAGGUACUGAAUCCAACUCUUCUUCAUGUAAUGCUUGUUAAAAUUAUAUAAAUUUGAAGGUGCAGAAUUCAUGUGAUGAAUGAAUGUCCAUGUUUCUCCAUAUUUCUCCAUUAGAUGAAAGUUUUUGUUUAGUCCAUGUUUGAGUAUAUACAUCUUCUGUGUUAUGUAUUAGAUUUUUGCUGUAUCUGUUAGUUUUGACCAGAUUUGAUCAUUUUUUUUCUUCUAAUAAAUUAAUAUUUUGACUGACCAUAUCAUAAUCUAGUUGAUCUAGCAUAUUACUUAGAAUUCCUUCUUUCCUAGUCUUUGAUACUAUUCAUAGUGAUGUUAUCUUUGUUGAGGGGCAUCUAUUUGAGAGAUGAGAUUUCAGGUUGAAGCAAUAUUAAGGAUGUAAAUCUAACUACCAGUUGGUCAAAUUUACUCCUGAAAAGUGCAAGCACAAUGAACUUUGGCUAAAAAUGGUUGAAGUGUGGUUGGAUGCAACAUCUAAAUUCUGCAGUUGAUUAAGACUCAAUUAGAUUUGAAAGGUUGUAAUUAAUAAAACCAUGGUUUGUUAAUGUAAUUAAAUAGGUUUCGUUUGAUUUAUGAUCCCUUCCUUAUCAUUUUGGGUCAAUGUAGUUUAAAGUUGUUUAAUCAUGUAAUUUGCAAAUGAGUUAGAAGAUCUUGAUUAUCAAUGUUGGUUUAGCACUUUAAUUUUUUAAAAAUUGUGUAAUGCCUUGCUAUGUUGAAUCAAGCUUCAUAGGGCCUUAAUAUUAAAGGGCCUCUUUCUAUAAACAAUUGGGUCGGGCAUUGGCCCAGAUAAGGCAGCCUGGUAGAACCAGGGUCAAAGAGUCUCGCUCAUGUCUUCUUUUCUUUUCUUUAGCUCAAUGUCGAGCCCAUCUGCCUUCAAUAGGUUUAUCCAUUAAGUCUUCUUUUAUUGUUAUUGUUUGUUCUAGUACAAUAAAAAGAGGACUUCUAUCACUAGAAGUUUAUUUGUUAAAAAGAUGGAGCUUUGUAUUUGGCCCAAUUAGAGCUAUGGUGGCCGCUUCACCUUUGUUCUUGGGCUCAAUCUUGAGCCCAGCUCCCAUCAACCGCAGUUCUUUUAGAGAACCCUUUUGAAAGAAAACGUAUUGGGCUGGCUGCAGGCCUACUUUUCUUUAAAUAUAAGCCAAGUUAGCCUACCAAAAGCGAAUUUGAACAAAGAAAAUUUAGAAUGUUUAGCUUGGCAUGUUGCGUGGUUUAAUUAAUAAAUUGUUAAUAGCUGAAUAUAAUCCAUAGAUCUUAAGACAAAUUAAGGUGAGCCAUUCACAAGAAAAAUCCGUAACCCAUGGCCCCCACAUUAAUACCAAUUAGUGUAAAAGAUGCUUUUGAACAUUCAUAAUUAGUUAAGAAAAUACUUUGAAUACUUCGUAGUUUGCUUUACGCGCGUUAGUAAUAAAAUCAUCAUAGCUACGGGCACUGUUCAUGUGAUGUAGUUGUGAUACCUAAUUCUCAAAUUUUGGGGUACAUUUAUGUGACCCGGUCACAAUUCUAAUAGCUUUAAUAAAUUAAACAUAUUGUAGAUCGUGGGUACAAUUCCCGUGACACAAUUCGCAAUGUGUAUCAAACAAACAACUAUACGAUAAUUGAUUUAAAACAUAUAGUAAAUCAGAUAAUAGGACAAGUAUUAACAGUUUAAGCAACCAUGCUAGUACCACAGAACCCAGGAAUGCCUAACACCUUCUCUCGGAUUAACAGAAUUCCUUACUUAAAAUUUCUAGUUCGCAGACUUUUAAAUAAAGUCGAAAUUUUCUUCAUUUGAGAUUUAAAAUAAACCGGUGACUUGGGACACCAUAAUAAAUAUUCCAAGUGGAGACUCUAAUUUUAAAUAAAAUAAUGUCAUUUCGAUUUAUGUCACUUUAAUUGAAAAAACUCUCUUAUAUUCUCCCUCGGGUGGUGAAAAGACCAUCCUGAUGUAUCUUACAUGCUACUUGUACAAUUAUUUGCCUUGAUUUGCAUGUUAACCGAUUUCUAAAAUAGGAAAAAAAUUUGGAAAAGUCAAAUUGAGGUAUGAGAGAGAUAAUUACCCGUUUUUGAAAAACGUUUUUUACCAAAAUAUACUGAAACUCUGUCGAUUUUUUUUUUUAAAAAAGAGAGAGAGAGAAAGGAGAAAAAAAAGAGUAAAUAGAAAAAUAUUUAAAAAAUUUCAUGUUUUUCUGUUGCAUCAAAACUAACCGAAUUGUGGGGGUUUGAUUUUCACUAGACAUGGGAUACAUAGGCAACCCUCAACGGGUCCAGCCCCUCCUUUUGCAAAAAACCCAAAUAUUUGAAAAAAAAAAUUGUCUUUGUUGUCAUAAAUAAAGUGGGUGAUGCUCUUUUUUGUCUAAAUAGCCGAACUUCCCAAAUGGCUGGAAGGCCAUUUUUGCAAGAAUAGCCACCAGCGGUUUCUUUGCCAACUUUUGGCCACCUAUUAAGUACAAUCGUAAAAUCUUCUCUUUCGAUGUGUUAAAGUGUCUGUGUUUAUUUAACCUCAGAAUUUUGUAAAAAUGACCCCUUUUAUCAAUUUUAAUAAAUUUCACUUUGUUUUAAAUCAAUCAUUUUAAUCUAAAUGUGCAGAAUGGACAUGAGUCAAAAUUUAUCAAUGACGGUUAUGACCAAGAUUUCGUUGGAACUAUAUGUGUUGUCAGAGGAUCUGGAUAAUCAAGGACGAGACAGGGUCAACCAUUACUUGGGGGUGCUCACCGGAUUAUUACAGAUCAGGCAUAGGGGAGACAUAAUAAAAGCACUGGUGACAUUUUGGGACCCAUCUCACAACGUUCUGCAUUUUUUAGACUUCGAACUCACACCUACUUUAGAGGAGAUAGCGGGUUAUGCUGGGAGUAUCGAGAGUUUAAGACAUAAAUACCUGGUUGCUCCAAGGAUCGUCACCCCUUACAUGUUUCUAGAUUUGUUAAAAAUAAGCAGGCAGGUCCAGUAUGCAGACUUGGCAAGUAGGUUUUCCACUCUAUUCUUCAUAUACUAGCGGUACGGGCAUGUAAGAGGAUUUGACAAUUCGGAAAGUGGAAUCUGUAACAAAGAUAAUCGGUCAAAGUGGGAAGAGCAUAGAUGCUUCGAUUUCAUGGUGGGAUUCUUAGGUCUUCUAGUGUUUCAUAGGGAGGACGUGAAUAUUGUCCUGCAGGUGGCUAGAGUCGUCAAUGUCUUGAUUACUAGUGCCAAGAGCACCCUCGCCACUAUGAUAGUAUCUGAGAUAUUCCAAGCUCUCACGGUUUGCAAAGCCGGGGAAUAUUUUUUCGAAGGAUGCAACUUAAUAUUACAAAUAUGGAUAAUUGAACAUCUAUGUCAUCGGCCUCGAUAUAUGAGUUAUGGAUCUACAGGGAAAAGCUGCAUUGAGGAUUUCGACACUAAGGUUUUAGGGUUUAAAUACCAGAACGGAUUGGAGAUUGGAUACCCAUUUUCGUUCCACUACUGCAGGGCCGAUAGAAUAGAUGUUGGGUUGGCUUCAUGCUGAAGAAAUUGUGUACAUGCCUACCACCGGUCCUUACUUCUUGCUAAUGGGCCUUCAAGGCAUCCAACCUUAUGCCCCAUACCGGGUGUUGAUAUAGUUAGGAAUAUGUCAGGUAACCCCAAGACGAAGUACUCAGUGUUCAUGUAGUUGAGAUCCGCUCUGAUUGUCAAUUUCAUGAAGAAGUGGUUCGUCAUAUUUUGAAUGAGUGCCAAUAUUGGACAGCAAACACCCAAGUACGUGACCGAUCUAGAGGCAAGGUCUUGCCUGGUUAUCUUGCUUGGUAUAGAAAGAAGUUCAUUGCAAGGGUCGAAAGGCCAACCAAAAGACCUCACAUCCAGGAAUUUGUUGAAGUGUCGUAAGAACAAUGGGCCAGGUUGACCAAAGAAUAUGAAUAAAUGGCCACCAUAAGCCAGAUGCAAGGGCAAAUGAGGGAUAUUAAAUUUGAUAAUGGUUUACAAGCCGCUGCAGAUGAGGGUGAAAAUAAGAAGUUGGACCAAGAAAAUAAAUUUCUCUGAGACCAGAUUCAAAGAAUGAAGAUAGCUGUUGAGAAUCUGAAAGGAGCCAAACAGAUGAAAUACUCAUAAAUGGUCUUAGGAGGAAAGUAUGUGAGUACUGGAAUGAUUUGGAAAAUUUUAAGGGUAGUCUGGCGUGAGCCCGGGCACAGUUGGCGAAGAACGCACAAGGACGUGCAGAGUUUGUUCAGCAUUUAAAAGGGAAAUAUGAUAGAGAAGUCGUAAAUCUGAAGAAAAAGCUAGCUACCCUCGAGAAUGAAAUGGCUAAACAGAUAAAGAACUUUAAAGAAGAGAGGGAAUAUUGUUAUGCACUGAUGUCUCGGCUGGAAGAAGACAUGCAACAGUUGCAGGUUCAAAGCCAUCAUGACACCCAAGUUUUGGAAGCUAGUUCUCAACAAAUUGGACGACUGCUCCAAGAGAAAGGCAUCAUUAGGGAAAAAGGUUAGAACAAUUGUUGACUACGUCGUCAUGAAAUGGCAUGAAAGCGAGGAUAUGACUAGAUCCACCUUCUUUUCCGUGGUAAAGACUGUUGUUCACAGGAUAAUAUAUGACCUGGAUCAUCUCCAAGAAGAUCUUGCACGUCACUUGCAGCGACACCGAUUGAUGUCCCGCGGUCCUUUAGAGUAGUUUUGGAAUCCCUUAUAUAUUCUUGAUUUUCUUUUCGAGUAUGUAUUUCUGUUUCCAUUUCUAGAGUCUAUUUCAGAUUUUCAAUUCUUAGGAAGGUAUGAUGGAGUCGUUGUAAUAAAGAAAGUUAAAAGUUUUUAUUUUGAUGAAAAAUUUGAGAAAAAAACCAAAUUUAUUUCUUUCUUUUAUUAGUCAUUUAUUCCUUGAACAACUUGAUGAUCGGAUUCACGAGUGUCGUGAUACGUAGGCAAUCCCCAUAGGAUCUUGUCAUGGUUUUAGAUAACUCAAAUGAAAAAGAAAAUGACAAAAAGAGAAAACCAAAAAAAAGAAGAGAAAACAAGAAUAAGCGAGCAAACAAGAAUAAGAGAGAAAACAAUGCAGGAAAGUCAGUGCAAAGAAAAGAGAGCAAAUAAUGAAAAGCGCGAAAAAGAAAAGAAAAAUGCAAAGAUCUGGGAGAUAGACAAAAGCCGAGAUGAGACAUGCAACUAUUGCAAAACAUGUAGAAAACCAUUUAACUGUCUAGGUGCAUUGCAUUCCCAAUAUGAAAUACCCUAUGUGUUAAUUGUAUCAAGCUAAUCCUUUUUUAUGUAUGUUGUUAAGACCGGGUUCUUUUUUUAAGUUAGGUUGUUUUGCGGUAAACUGGCUUCACACCCUCACUUUACAAGAUCCAAGGGAAGUGUCGAAAUAUCGUCAGAAAGUCAUCUACCAACAAUUCUCAUCUCAGAGGAUAGCUUGAUGAUGGUUAUCCCAACAUCAGGGUCAAUGGCUGCUGAAGAGAAUAGGGCCUUGCGCCUCCGCAUGUUGAAAAUAUGGGACGCUUGGUAUAAAGGUAGAUUGACGCCUAGUGUAAUAGCUGGUUUACCCGAGCUGCUUCCCCGGAUAAGUGGAACCUCCAAAAUCCAUAUAAGUUACCGGACACUCCACUCGGAUACCCCACCAUGUCAUCCCAUUUCGUUCGAACGCUUUCUGAGAUUCGCCCCCAAUCACUGAUUUCGAGAGUGGAUUCUAACAUAUUCACCGCACCACCAACCUUGACUACAACACAACCAACUUUGCCUAGGCCAAGCUUCAAGCUGUCAUCCUAUACUUUCUAAAUACCACCAUUUCCCAUUGAUACAACUCAUUUAACCACAAACUCUUACCAUCAAAAACCUAGGUAUGAGUUCACUGCAGGAUAAUAGAUAACAGUAAAUAAUCCCGAGCAGGAGGAAUCACUCGAAAAAUGAAGAGCAUGGAGCAAAGCCUCAAGAACAUACAAGGCAUGAGUGGCCAGAAUAGUGUAUUCUACGCUAACUUGUGCAUGUUCCCACAUGUUCAUCUACCCGUCGAUAUCAAAACUCCCAAGUUUGUGAAAUAUGCUGGACAUGGGGACCCCAUAGCUCACCUGAAGAGAUAUUGCAACCAUUUGAGGGGAGCUGGCGUAAAAGAAGAGCUCCUAAUGGAUUACUUUGGGGAGAUUUUAGUUAGAAUUGCAUCUGAAAUGUAUAUGGAUAAGGACAUUUCCUGCUGGCACAUAUGGAAUGACUUGGCCCGAGGACUUUGUCAGACAAUUCCAGUACAACAUGGACAUAGCUCCAGAAAGAAACUCUUUGUCCAAUUUCAAAAAAAAAGUCUUUGGAGAGCUUUCGAGAGUAUUCUGUCAAGUGGCGUGAACAAGCUUCCAGGUUGAAACCCUCGAUGGAUGAGUCCGAGAUGGUAGGUGUCUUUUUGCAAGCUCAAGAGGCUGAUUAUUUCCAGAACAUAAUGCAUGCUAUGGGAAAGCAAUUUGCUGAGGCUAUCAAAAUUGGGGAGAUGGUUGAAAACGAUUUGAAAAUAGGGCGCAUCCUGAGCCAGUCAGCUAUAAGAGCUACUUCUCAAACAAUCAAAAGCGGAUCAGGGGGUGUAGCAAACUAAAAGAAGAAUGAAAAAGUUGAAAUUAUGGCCUCAUGUCUGAGAAAUCCCCAUAAACCCCGAGGUUACUUUAGUUCCCCUUCAAAUACCCCGCAACAUUAUUACCCUCACCAAGAUGCACUUAUGCCAUGACUCUUUGUCCUUAUACGGUGAUGAAUGCCCAGGCAUAUGCUCGGCCACAACAACAAUAUAACCAAUACCGAGCUCUACCUCCUAGAAAUAACCCUCCUUACCAAGCUGCAUAUAAUUCCCGUCCCCCAAGGAUAAAUUUGCCAUAUAAUGCUCGUGCCUGUGAGCCGCAUAGAAAAACCAACUUAACGCCCAUCGGUGAAUCAUACUCUAGCCUCUUCCCUAAGUUGGUCCAAAUGGGUUUGUUGCAACUCGUACCUCUGAAUAGGAAAAACCCAGAGUCACCCUCCUACCAACCCGGUACCCGAUGUUCUUAUCAUUCAGGGGCAGAAGGGCACGAUAUUGAGGGUUUAACCCAUUGCCAGCUCAUAACAACAUGCCAAUUAUUGGGAUGAUUUGUGAGGAUAGAUAGUUUGACCCGGCUUUAAAAGCUAUCAUUACUAUUGUCGGUGUUGAAAAAAAUCCAAAAGCGAUGGCAAAGCAAGUCAAUGGGAAGAAUAAGAGCAACUUCGCUCCUGAAAACAUAGAAAAGACCAUGGAAGCCAAAACAGAAGCAGUACCUCCUAAUGAUGCCAUUCUUUAUGUUCCUAGGGCACCCACAAAAGAAUGGUUUGUAUUGAGUCCCCCAAAAGGUAUGAUUUAAACAAGGGUUCUAAGAUGUACGUACCAAAGAGGACAUAUGUGGCGCGAGGGCCAGUAAUUUCACCCAUGAUGAAUGGGCCUGUGGUUAUUAGCCGUGCAUCACAGAAGCCUAUGAAGGACCCCACUGCAAUCCCCUGGAACUACAACAAAGUAGUGGUGAAUACAAGGAAAAAGAAAUCAAGGGGGAAGUGAAUGAAACAAACCCCUAUGGUAAAUACCUCAACUUGGAGGAAUUGAAUAAAACCAAACAGAAGUGUUUUUCGCUCAAAAAGCCAGUCAAUGCUGAGGAGGCAGAGGAAUUCUUCUGAAAGAUUAAAGUCUUGGACUACGAUGUAAGUGACCAACUCCGAAAGUCUCUCUCUCAGGUCUCACUCUUUUCUCUACUGAUAAGCUCGAAUGAGCAUAAGAAAGUGUUGAUAAAGACCCUUAAUAAAGACUAUGUUCCGAUCGAAACCACUAUUGAGCAACUUAAAAGAGUGGCAGAAUGAUUUUUUGAAGUAAACUAAUCUCAUUCAGCUGAAAUGACAUGCCAUUGGAAGGGGCUGCCCAUAAUAAAACUCUUCAUUUUAUCAUUAAAUGUGAAGGAUACUAUGUGAAAAGAGUUAUGUUGGAUGGCGAAUCUGGGGUUGACACUUUCCCUCUCUCGACCUUAUAGAGAAUGGAAAUUGGGACUGAAAGAAUUAGGCCCAACAAUUUUUGUGUACACGCUUUUGAUGGCGUCAAGAGAGAUACAAUAGGGGAGAUUGAUUUGAUCCUAACUAUCAGUCAUGUAGAUUUUUAAGUGACAUUUCAGGUUUUGGACCUGGACACAUCCUACAACUUUCUCCUAGGAAGGCCUUGGAUCCAUGUUGCAGUGGCCCUACCUUCUACUCUCCAUGAAAUGGGUAAGUUUGAACCUAAAGACCAGGAAAUCAUGCUCCACGAAGUAGACGAGCAAUCAAUUUACAGGGACCCGUUAGUCAUAUGUAUGGAGGCUAAGGAAGGUAGCGAGCACAUAGUCUACCAAGCUUUUGAGAUUGUGGUCGCGGAUCAGUAUGAGUAAGGAACCCUGUGUCCUCAACCAUUUUUGUCAAAUGCGUCAAUCAUGGUCGCCACUGAAAUGAUCAAGCACGGUUACAAUCCCCGGAAAGGGCUCGGGGUAUCUUUGCAAGUAUCAUAGAAUCUAUUACUUUAGCUACCAAUGAGAAAUUCUUCGAUGUGGGUUUCCAAACCACAGAAACUGAUGUGACAUGGGCUAAUCAACAAAAGAGCAAUGGUAGGGUCUUGCCUCAGGCAGUCCCUCAUCUCUGCAAAGUAUUUGUCAAGCCAAGAUAUAUAGAGAAAGAAGAUGAGGCCUUCACGGUCGAAGAAAUUGAGCACAUAUAUAGAGCAAUGAGGCACACAUGGUCCAGCCGGGUGAAGGAUCAAGCACUGUUGAGGUGCAAUAUAUGGGGCUCGAUGCCAAGAUGCAAAAUUAGAAGGCUACUCUGUUCCCAGUCGGGAAUCCUGAUAGUUCCGUCUUGCCAUCUUUUUUGCAUUUCGAGUUAUUUCAGGAUGUAACACGAAUGUUUUUUUGUAUAUUGUCUUUGAAAUUCCAAUGUAAACCCUUCUACCUUCAAAUUAAAUGGAAUGAAAUCAAUAUAUCAUCGUCUAUGAAUCUCUCUCCUUAUUCUUUCUGAUUUAUGUUAUUUUUCUUAUUUCCUCUUUUAGUUCUAAUAAUGCAGACUGAAAUAAUACGAAAUGCUUGUGGACUUCAUGCCCAGAUCCUAACACGUUGUCUAACUGUAAAAUAAUAAACCAAGAACUAAAAUACGAUGAAGAUGAGGAUUUUAGGAAAAUAAAUCGAGAACUAGAACAAUUUGAGAAUAAGCAUAAGUCAAACUUAAAUGAAACUGAGCCAAUUAAUUUGGUAGUUUGGAAGAGGUAUAGGAAACCAUGAUAAGCAUUCACACUAAUGAAAGAACUAGGGAUGCAUUGAUCCAACUUUUGUUUAAAUUCAAAGACGUGUUUGCCUAAUCCUAUGAUGAUAUGCCAGGACCUUUUUUUUUCUCAACCUUUUUUUUAUAUGCCAGGACUGAGUGUUGAUUUAGUGGUGCAAAAAUUGUCAACCUACCCCGAUUAUCCCUCUGUCCAACAAAAAUAGCGAAAGUUUAAAACCAACAUUAGUUACAAGACCAAAGAAGAAGUCACCAAACUGUUAAACACGAGAGUAAUCCGAGUGGUCCGAUACACCACAUGAUUGGCUAAUGUGGUCGCAAUGCCAAAGAAAGAUAGGAAAACUCGAGUGUGUUUUGACAUCGGGAUUUGAACAAAGCAAGCCCCAAGGACAACUUCCCCUUACCAAGCAUCCACAUACUUGUUCCUUGCACGGUCCUAUGAUGUAUGCCAGGAUCGAGUGUUGAAUGGUGCACAAAUUUCAAACUUACUCCGACUAUCUCCUUGUCCAACAAAAUAGAGAAAGUUUAAAACCGACAUUAAUGACAAGAUCAAAGAGGAAGUAACCAAAUAGUUAAAAGCAAGUGUAAUUCGAGGGGUCCGAUACACCACAUGGUUAGUUAAUGUGGUGCCAGUUCCAAAGGAAGAUGGAAAAACCUGAGUGUGUGUUGACUAUCAGGAUCUGUACAAAGCAAGUCCCAAGGACAACUUCCCGUUACCAAAACAUCCACAUCCUUGUUGACAACUGUGCCAAACGUGAGAUACAUUCUUUUGUGGAUUGUUAUGCUGGAUAUCAUCAGGUCUUGAUGGAUGAAGAAGAUGCAGAAAAGAAGGCUCUCAUAAUACCUUGGGGUACUUACUAUUAUAGGGUCAUGCCUUUUGGUUUGAAGAAUGCCGGGGCAACUUAUAUGAGAGCUAUGACUAUCAUCUUUCACGACAUGAUGCACCAAAAAAUUGAGGUGUAUGUGGAUGAUGUGAUCAUUAAAUCAAGAAUGCAGCACAAUCAUGUGCGGGACCUGAGAAAGUUCUUUGAGCGUCUGCAUAAGUAUGACUUGAAAUUAAAUCUGGAAAAAUGUACAUUUGGGGUAAACUUUUAGGGUUUAUAGUCAGUCGGAGUGACAUCAAGUUAAAUCCAACAAAGAUAAAGUCUAUUCGGGAUUUGCCGCCUCCGAGAACCAUGAAAGAAGUUAUGAGUCUGUUGGGAAGAUUAAAUUACAUUAGCAGAUUCAUCGCUCAGUUGACUUCUAUGUGUGAGCCCAUAUUUAAGCUGUUGAAGAAAGAUGCGACGAUUAGAUGGACAAAUGAAUGUCGGGAGGCUUUCGACAAAAUCAAGGAAUAUUUGUCGAAUCCGCCCGUGUUGGUCCCACCCGAGCCGGGGAGGCCUUUAUUCUUGUACUUGAUAGUGUUGGAGAAUUAUUUUGGAUGUGUCCUUGGGCAACAUGAUUUGAUUAGGAAGAAAGAAAAAGCCGUAUACUACUUGAGCAAGAAGUUUACUAGUUAUGAAUCCAAAUACACUUUGUUGGAAAGAACUUGAUAUGCCCUAACUUGGGUUGCUCAGAAGCUUAGGCAUUACUUGUUGGCCUACACCAUCUAUCUCAUCACUAGAUUGGAUCCUUUGAAGUACAUAUUCCAAAAGCUGAUGCCAACGGGAAGGUUAGCAAAAUAGCAAAUCCUGCUCAACAAGUUUGACAUAGUGUGUGCCACCCGCACGACAAUGAAAAUUCAAGCUUUGGCAUAUCACCUAACUGAGAAUCCAGUUGAUGAUGAAUAUCAGCCUUUGAGUACUUGCUUUUUGGACGAGGAAGUAAAUUCAGUUAAAGUAAUUAUAGAAGACGCCAAUGCUUGGAGAAUGUUCUUCGAUGGAGCUGCGAAUGCAAAAGGUUUCGGAAUUGGGGCAAUUUUGAUAUCACCCACUGGUCAGCACUAUUUGGCCAUAACCCGGCUUCAGUUUCUUUGCACUAACAAAACUACCGAGUAUGAAGCAUGCAUUAUGGGCAUGAAUAUGGAAUUCGAUCAGGAUGAUGAGGAAUUGCUAAUCAUGGGAGAUUCUGACUUGAUUAUUCGAUAAGAUCAAGGUGAAUGGGAAACUCGAGAUGUCAAGCUUAUUCCAUAUAGGCAACAUGUCGAGGAUCUUAGCAAGCGGUUCAAAUCCGUCGAGUUCAGCUACAUUCCUCAAUUUCAUAAUGAGUUAGCCAAUACACUAGCUACUUUAGCCUCGAUGCUUCCAUAUCCAGGCAAUGUCCACAUUGACCCAUUGGAUAUCCAAACUUGAGAAAGGCAUGAUUAUUGUGUCGCAUUUGAAAUAGAGCCAUAUGUUCAGUCAUGGUAUCAUGAUAUCAAAAGAUUCUUGAAAAUAGAGGAAUAUCCCGAGCAAGCCAGUGGAGACUAAAAGAGAACCAUUAGAAGGCUCGCCAAUAGUUUCUUUCUGAGCGAAUAAGUCUUGUAUAAAAGGACUCUGUAUUUGAAUCUUUUAAGAUGUGUGGAUGCCCAGGAGGCGGGCAGAAUCAUGAAUGAAGUGCACAUAGGAGUGUGUGGUCCCCAUAUUAACGGAUAUAUCUUUGCAAAGAAACCCUGCGAGUAGGUUAUUACUGGAUGACCAUGGAAAAUGACUACUUCAGUUUUGUCCGAAUAUGUCAUAAGUAUCAAGUACAUGGUGACUUGAUUCAUACACCGCCUUCAGAACUACAUCCAUCACCACGGCCCUUUGUGGCUUGGGGUAUGGAUGGUAUUGGGCCAAUCAAGCCAAAAGCUUCAAAUAGGCACAGAUUCAUUUUAGUUGCCAUCGACUAUUUCACAAAGUGGGUUGAAGCAAUCACUCUAAAAGCCGUCACCUAGAAAGCAGUGGUUGACUUCAUGUAUUCCUAAAACUAUAUUUACAAACAAUGCUAUAAAUUUAUAUAGUCAUUUGAUAAGAGUGGUAUGUGAAUAAUUUAAGAUCACGCAUUGAAAUUCCACCUCGUGUUGACCCAAAGCUAAUGGUGUUGUCAAAGUAGUGAACAAAAACGUCAAGAAGAUUCUUAGGAAAAUGAUUCAAACUUCUAGAUAAUGGCAUGAAAAGUUGGCUUUUGCAUUGUUGGGAUAUCGCAUAACUGUGCGCAUAUCGGUUGGAGCAACACCCUAUCUAUUGGUUUAUGGCACUGAAGUUGUAAUUCCCGUAGAAUUUGAAAUUCAAUCUCUUCGAAUCAUCGUUGAAGCUGAGAUUGAGGAUAAUGAGUGGGUCAAAACCCAUCUAGAAUAGUUAAAACUAAUUGAUAAAAAAAGAAUGGCUGCAAUGUGCUACGAGCAGUUGUAUCAACAAAGAAUGGCUCGUGCCUACAACAAGGAAGUGCAGCCUAGGAACUUUGAAGUGGGGCAACUCGUUUUGAGACGUAUUCUUCCACAUCAGAAGGAAGCAAAAGGAAAGUUCGCUCCAAACUGGAAGGGUCCGUUCAUUAUAAGAAAAUUGUUGCCAAAAAGGGUAUUGCACUUGGGAGACAUUGAAGGGAAUGACCCUGAAACAACUGUCAAUGCAAAUGCGGUCAAAAGGUAUUAUGUUUAUCCCUUCUACAGUACAGAUAUUCUCCGAUUAGGAUAUUGAAGGCUUUCAUUCUCUCUACCCAAACACUUUUAACCAUUUGCUAACCAUUUGAGCUGGUUACCCUCUUUUGGAACCCGGUUUGUGGAAAAAAGAAUAAAAAGGUCCAUGAACUACGUUCUGCUUAAUUCUGAAAGGAUACAUAGGCAGCCUCUCCAUGGGGUUUAGUCACACCAAAACAAAUAUACAUAUUCCCCAAUGUUGAAACUAGACAGAAUUUAUAUUGGUUUGGUGACUGUUUGCCUAAAAGGUUCAAAGUUGUAAUUCAAUCCAAACUCUUUUUACCCUAAAUUGUAUUCAAAGUCCUUCUGAUCAAUCGGUAAAGAUGUUCAAAAUGGGAGGAUGUUCGUUAUUUGGAUAUGAUACAAUCAAAUGAGAGAAACAAAAUGAGAGAGUUUUAUUGGUGAAAACUCACACGGGCAUCGUAAGGCGAUGGCGAGCAAAGAAAAUGAAAAACGAGAGAUUCUUGUUAGUGAAAACUUGCAAAUAACACUAUAAGGCAACGACAGGGAAAGAAAUGAGAGAGGUUAGUUAGUGAAAACCUGUAAAGGCCGCUACUGAUCGAAAAAAGGAUCACUUAUAAGCAUCUGCACUGAAAGAGUCCUGACAAGAUUUCUCAGUUUUUAGUUAUGAGCUAUGAUGGAUUUAUUAGAGUUGGAUGGUUUGCACGGAUCGGGUAUCCAGUCUAAGAAGUGUGUCAUGUCUAUUGAAGUCUGGAUGCAACUCUAGAUAAGUCUUUUUUCCUUUCUAUGAAAGGGACACUGCUCAUUUAAAUUCAUUAUCCUGCCUGUUGUUUACUUUUCUUUGAACCCCUUUCGGUCUAAUACUCAUCCGAAACUAAUACAAAGAAAAGAUGACAAGAUUGGUUUUACAGGUUUUUGUUUGGCGAAAGUUAAAAUUCAAGAAAAGCACCCAACCUCAACAGGUGCAUCAAGUCGAUCUCGACUGGCCAUGGUGGUCUGUGCUCUAGAAUCAAAAGUUUUGAAAAGGAAAGAAAUCCAAAGUCAAGUGUCCAUAAAGGCAAAAUAAGAUGAAAAGGCCAAGCCUCACACGGGAUAACCAUCAUCUGGAAUUUCGGAAAGUCAAAAUCCCUGGGUAAUUUCUAGAAAGCCAGCAAGAAAUGGAGAUUUUCAUUGAAAGAGUUGGACCGAGACCAAGUGAUCAAAACAAUCAAGGCCACAAAUUCAACUAUCGUUUUACACUGACAAACUGUUCUUUGAUUUGAAAGUAGGAAAAUAGGUGCAGUCCAAAAUAACCUUGCAAGAAGCAGGGGCAAUAAAAGCAAGGUGCGUAGAAACCAAAACAGUUAUGCAUCAAAAGUUGACCCGGAAAGGAAAGUCCCUUUUUAAACUCUUCAUUCAUUCAUUCUCCUAAAUAAAAUUAAAAGUGAAGUAAAAAUGGGAAGAAAAAAAAGAAAGAAUAAAAAGAAAGAAGUAAAGAAAACGAAGAAGAAAAAUCCAAAAAUCAUGGUAGCCUAGGAUCCCCAGUGUCUAGCUACGUUUUUCCAACAUAGGAUCCCAUUCCCUAGUCGCUACCAUCAUAACCUAAUAGUAUAUUCCAGUAUAGGGUCCCACUCCCUAGUUGAUUCUCGGCACAAACUCGUAUAUUCCAGUAUAACCCGAAGACUUUCCUAGCAUAACCCAUGGACCUUUUCCGGUACAACUCGAUGACUUUUCCGGUAUAACCUGUGGAUCUUUUCCGGCAUAACCUGAUGGUUUUUCAGCAUAACCCGUGGACCUUUUCCGGCAUAACCCGAGGACUUCCCCGACAUAAUCCGUGAACAUUUUCCGGCAUAAUCCGAUGACUUUUUUGGCAUAACCCCUAAACCUUUUCUGGCAUAAACGGAUGACUUUCCCGGCAUAACUCGUGGACCUUCUUCGGCACAACCCGAUGACUUUUCCUGCAUAACCCCUAGAUCUUUUCUGGCAUGAGCGAUGACUUUCCCGACAUAACCCCUGGACCUUUUUCGGUAUAAUCCGAUUACUUUCCCGGCAUAACCCGUGGACCUUUUUGUUAUAAUCCGAUGACUCUCCUAGCAUAACCCGUGGUCUUUUCCGAUAUAACUUGAUGACUUUUCCGGCAUAACCCGAGGACCUUUCCGGCAUAACCCGGUCAGUUUUCCAGCAUAACCUGGUAAUUUUCCCAAUUUAAGGCCUCUGAUCCCUAUUUGAUUUAAUUUUGGAUAUAGGGCUCCACUCCCUAAUCUCUUUUCUCCCGAGGAUACACAAUCCUGAUUUUAUUGCUUUCAAUAAAGAAGUAGCUUAAAUUUUUAUUGCAAUAACUCACGAAAUUUUCCUAGUAAAAACUUGGGCAGAAAAAUUUCGUUCGUUUGUUUGUUUUUAGUGCCUGAACAUGUUUUUUUACCAUAUGGCACGAGAUUUAGAUGACCAAAAGAAGAAGUCUCAAUCCAAAUAAAAGAAAAAGAAAACAAGAAAAGAAGUUGAACUCUAAGUAUAGUAGCGGAGAAAAGAUGUGAACUGCUCAAGAUAUGAUUGAAGUCACAAGCUUUGCAUGUCCCGCCUUGAUCUGACAAGCUGAAGAAGAAUGAAUCAGUGAUUGCACCUAACGAGCAUCGAGAUUCAGAUUAGAGUCAGCAAGAAGAACCAGCCAAGACUCAAGAUCAAGCUUUAGAAGUUUUAUUGAUAGGAAUCUUGUAACUCAUAGUUGAUAAGUUUAGCUAGUUUAAAUUUUUAUCUUUUAUCUUGGUGUUAUGAGGAGCUUAGCAAGCAAACAUAGCAACAACAAUAGUGAAAUCACAGUUUUCGGUAGUUCCAGCUACUAAAACAUCCUGAAUUACACUGAUCCGAUUUCUUUAUAGCAAAGGAUAUGUAGGCAACCUCCGAAGCAAGAUUCGGUCAGAAUAUUUCCAAAAAAUGCUUCCUAUGGAGUUUCAAAUUGGAAAAAAUCGCUCCUAAUUGCUCACUUUAUCUUUGCCCGAAAACCCUUCGUGUUUUCGAGCAAAAAGGUGCAGCUGUGAACAUGCGAUUUUUGCCCAAUUUGAAAUACUCUUUUAAAAAAUAAAGAAGAUAGAUUUUUUCUAAAUUAUUGGCAAUUUCAUAGGAUUGAUGAAGGAUUUUUUAUUAAUUGUUUGCAUUUUGUGCACAUUUAAUUUUAUUAAAAUCACAUGAAAAAAUAUCAAAAAUAUCGUACGUUGCAUUGAAAUUAUGUUACCAUAUUUUUAGGAUUAAAUAGUUAAUUAGUUACUUUAUUAAGAUGAAAAUCUCAAAAAUUGGUUCAUUUUUACAUUUUAGCUUUCAAUUUUAGAUUAGUAAUUUUUUCUUUAUAAAUUUAGAAUUAACUAAUUUUUAUAAUAUUUUUAAUUUGAUAAUUAGCUUAAUUUUACAACUUAGAUUAACUUAGGAUUUUAACUAAUUAGAGAAACGAAAAAGGAAACAAAAGGGAAAAUAAGGAAAAAGAAAUUGAAAGAAUGAUUUAAUUUGAAAUUGGGCCCAAUUGUAAUGUCCUAAUCUGCCUGGUCCGACCCAGCCGAAUCCCUUUAAGAACAAUUCAGACCCACCCUUCUAAAAAUGACCCCGUUUCUUUCCACGUGAUCUCAACUGUUGAUUUAUACGAAUCCAACGAUUGGCUUCUGAUCUUCAUUUAGCUUAGAACUGUCCGAUCCGAGCCCCCUUCCCUAAUAGACCCCUCUCAUUUUCCGUCUCUCACUCUCAAAGAACAAAUUCAUAGCCGCCCUAAAUCCCCUCACCACCUCCGUUAUUGACCACCCACCAAAAAUUUCCUCACGGUAGCUCCGGUGCUCCAAACCCUAACAAAUUAACCCCAUACAAUCACCUUCCCAUCCCCUUUCCAAAUCUCCAAACCGUUUCCUUCAAAUCUUUUUCAAUCUCCUCGAAUCUUAGAUCUAAGUUUCACAAAAAACCUCAUCUUUUUCCUUUUGAUCUUCUCGAGCAGUUUUUGGGAUUUGUGAACUAAAGACUUCGUUAGUUAACUAUUCUUGUUAAUAAAAGUUAAUUAAUGGUCGUUCAAGUCCACUUUCCCCAUUAGAUUUGGUCAGAUUCGUAGAUAAUCCCUUCCUGUAACGAGUAUAGGUAAUUCCUCUUACUUUUCUAUUAUUUUUCUUUGCUUUGGUUUUCUUUUCCCUCUUCAUGUUCAUGUUUCGUGUUUAGCCGCAUGAUUUAGGGAUUUUAUCUUUCUUUUUUAAACGUUAGUUGUUUGCUUAAAUUUUGUUCAUUAGAUUGAUAAAAAUAUGCUAAGACUUCAUCAAAUUUUCAUUGGUUUAUUUUAAUUAGGUCUAAUCUUUGUAGGGUUUUCGAUAAAUUGGCUACUCUAUUUUUAUCUUGUUGUUUGUUCUAGUUCAAAGUUAAUUAGAAUGAUUCUGAAAAUUGGUCAACAUUUGGUUGAUUUUAUUAGCUAUUUAAAAAUAUAUAAUGUAGUUAAUUAAUUUAUUUUGAUUCAUAAACUGAUUAGUUCAGAUUUUUUUGCAGUUUGAUGUUAUUUUUUUGUAGAUGCAUUAGUCGUUUUAACUUCAUUUUUGUUUGGGUUUAAUUAGAUAAAUACUUUUAUUUACUAAUUAGGUUAGUCUUAGUUUAAAUGGCAUCAUUUCGAUUUUGUUACCACUUUAAUUUGCAUUCUGAUCCUUUGAUUAACUGUUGUCUUAUUUUUAUUUUGUUUGUAAAAGUAGAAACAGAUAGGGGCCUAAUUGAACUAAAAGAAGAUUAGGACAGUUUUCAAAAAAAUAUCUAAGAAAAGAAGGUUUUAGAAGUAUACAGCUGUCCAGAAUUAUUUUAAAAGAUGUUGAAUAUGGACAACUGUCCAUUGUUCUCUGUCAAAUAGGAUGUACUAUCUAAGAAAUUUGGGGUAGAAUAUUCCUAGAUGCUAUUUCUGGAUAUGCCUUAUAAGAAGAAAGAUAUGCUUUCAUCCUCAAACACAUUCGGAUUUUCAGAACCCUAAAAUAUACUCUAAAACAUUUAGUUGUUGUGUUCUUAAAAGAUGAUUUUUUCCUCUAAUUUUAACAAAACACUCAAAAACCUCCCUGAUAUUUAUGGUCUUCAUAAGUUGAAAAAUAUAAUUUGAAAGUGAAGAUUCUUGAUUUCUUUAGGGUAUACUGCUGUUAGCUGCUGUAGCUUUUGGGGUUUGGUUUUAUUUGGCCGUUGCUGUUUGAUUUCUGUUGCUGCUUCACUUUUUUCAAGCUUCAUCCACUUUUUGUUUUUCAUAUGUUAUUUUCUGAUUUUUGUUGUUUUUUGUACAAUGUACUGAAUCCAACUCUUCUUCAUAUAAUUCUUGUUAAAAUGAUAUAAAAUUGAAGCUGCAGAAUUCAAUUGAUGAAUGGAUGUCCAUGCUUCUCCAUAUUUCUCUAUUGAAUGAAUGUUUUUUGUUUAGUCCAUGUUUGAGUAUAUGUAUCUUUGUGUUUGUAUUAGAUUUUUGUUGUAUGCGUUAGUUUUUCCAAAUUUGGUCACAUUUGUUCUUCUAAAUUAAUAUUUUGAUAGACCUUGCCAUAAUCUAGCUGAUCCAACAUGUUACUUAGAGUUCCUCCUUUCCUUGUCUUUGAUGCUAUUCAUAAUGAUGAUAUCUUUGCUGAGGGACAUCUAUUUGAGAGAUGACAUUUCAGGUUGAAGCAAUAUUAAUGAUGUAAAUCUGACUACCAAUUGGUGAGAUCUAAUUCUGAAAAGUGCAAAUACAAUGAUAUUUGGAUACAAAGGUUCUAAGUGUGGCAAGAUGCGACAUCUAAAUUCUGUAGUUGACUAAGACUCAAUCAGAUUUGAAAGGUUGUAAUUAAUAAAAUCAUGUUCUGUUAAUGUAAUUAAAUAGGUUUCGUUUGAUUUGUGAUCCCUUCC